UAGCCGAGAUGCGCUGUUAGAGCUCAGCCGAUGUGCUAGAUGGUUGGCACUGAGGGACACUCCAAAGCUGCCUCGCUCUCUCCCAUGUGAGGUAGGGGCGCAGGUGAUGAGCAACAUUGACGCUUCCAUAGUCAUGACUGCAGAAGUGGACGCCCUCCGACCCCGCCCAGUCUCCCCCUGUCCCAGCCCCUACCACCUCCAUCAACUGCAUGUCCACUGCCUCCGCAACUUCGGCCUCACCUCCGAUAACGAUGAGCCCUCUACCUCCAGCCCUCCACAGCCACCACUCCGCCCGACGACACCGAGUGCCUCAGCGGCUUGCAUCACGGUGCCUUCAAUUCUCCUACGCACCCCAACCUCGCCCUUGUGGAGCUCGGCCGGAUCCGCCUCCAACUGCAGCGCGUGUUCCUAUGGAAGGUCGCCGGUUCGAACCACCAGGCACUCGUGCUGGCGAUCGAUGUCUUCGAGUGAGGUUUUUUGGGCAAAUUUUCUCCUGUUUUUGGAUGAUUUUUGAGAUUUUUUCGGUGGGUUUUUGGACUAUCUUGGCUUGGUUCCUUCCCUGCGGUGGUGAUUCAUUGGUGUCGCGAGGAUUUGUUUUUUUUUGGGUGAUUCUGUGCAAGUUACAAGUACGGACUGCGGAGCGCGUGGUGUUCUAUGUUUUUUGCCACGAUUUUUAUGUUGUUCCUAGAUCUUAGUCUUAGCUCCCUUUGUAGAAUUCUAUGCCGAAUCCAUGAUCUUCUGGUAUGUAUUUCCAAGUGGAUGAGUUCCCCUAACUAGAUUUGCCUCAGUGUCUACGGAUUUGUUGCAUAAGUUGUCUCUAGAUCCCGAAGAGUGAAGGCGGCCAGGCCCUGGAGGCGAAGUAGAAGAUGUCGAGGGCGCCGAAUGGUGUGGUAGCAUCUCCAAACCCUCCAGGGAUGUCAAUGGAGCAAUGGGCGCUGCAAGAUUACAAGGACUCCGCCAUGUACUACGGUGCCUGCCCUGGAGCUUACUACUGUGGAGGAUGGGGUGAUUAUUCCAUCUACGUGAGCCAGGAUGGAGCGGAUGCACUUACAUCUGUGAAUAUUUGUUCCCUACUAAGCAAUUCACAAAGCUUGCGAACACUUGGGCCUUGGUUCGAUCUUAUGGCCGACCCCUUAAAGUUAGACAGAAAAUGCAAAUGCUUCGAUGAUUUGAAUCAUGGCAAAGUGUAUUUGGAUGAA
Molecule: long non-coding RNA, 1199 nt
Organism: Phragmites australis (common reed)
Lineage: Eukaryota; Viridiplantae; Streptophyta; Magnoliopsida; Poales; Poaceae
Exons: 3
Source: RefSeq, a predicted model, not a curated record